ACCUGUCAGUCUGGGGAUCACCCUCCACCUCAGAAGAAGGGAAUUUUGAAAAUGAACUGGGUUUUAAUUCCAACUGGCAAGGAACACUUGGGACUGAAAUCAAAUCUGGAGCUAGUCACGUGUCAGGAGAAGAUGAAACCUCACGCUCCAGGUGUGAUCAUAAGACUUUUUGCUGCAGCUUCUAAUCAGGUGAGAACUCCAGCUAAAAUUGAUAGAAAUCCUGCCUGUGGAGUUUUGGCCUUGAGAGUGAGCUGUGAAGCAAGAAAAAAAAAAUCAGGGAAUCAAUGUCAGAAAAAAACGUGGUAUUGCAAAGAACUGUUUGUCAAGAAAAUAACUGCAUGGAAAAUAUUCAUGACAGAAUACAACUGAUGUCUCAAAAGAGAUGCCUCCAUUCCCCACCACACUUUUUGCUUUGGUUUAGAAAGGGUGAAGUUCCCUUGGCUCA
Long non-coding RNA from Neopelma chrysocephalum (saffron-crested tyrant-manakin), 445 nucleotides. RefSeq lists it as uncharacterized. The record is from RefSeq and is a predicted model, not a curated record. NCBI's taxonomy places the organism in Eukaryota, Metazoa, Chordata, Aves, Passeriformes, Pipridae. The transcript is spliced from 3 exons.